Molecule: transfer RNA, 76 nt
Filed under: Candidatus Aerophobetes bacterium Ae_b3a
Lineage: Bacteria; Candidatus Aerophobota
Also listed under: 3 other names
Description: tRNA-Ala
Rfam family: tRNA
About the family: Transfer RNA (tRNA) molecules are approximately 80 nucleotides in length. Their secondary structure includes four short double-helical elements and three loops (D, anti-codon, and T loops). Further hydrogen bonds mediate the characteristic L-shaped molecular structure. tRNAs have two regions of fundamental functional importance: the anti-codon, which is responsible for specific mRNA codon recognition, and the 3' end, to which the tRNAs corresponding amino acid is attached (by aminoacyl-tRNA synthetases). tRNAs cope with the degeneracy of the genetic code in two manners: having more than one tRNA (with a specific anti-codon) for a particular amino acid; and 'wobble' base-pairing, i.e. permitting non-standard base-pairing at the 3rd anti-codon position.
Source: RNAcentral
GGGGGCAUAGCUCAGUUGGGAGAGCACGUCCUUGGCGUGGACGGGGUCGGGGGUUCGAGUCCCCCUGCCUCCACCA